This 1101-nucleotide long non-coding RNA is filed under the name Gopherus evgoodei (Goodes thornscrub tortoise). RNAcentral's name for it is "lncRNA (ENSGEVG00005016235.1)". Lineage: Eukaryota; Metazoa; Chordata; Testudines; Testudinidae. The record is from RNAcentral.
CAAAGGGGCCACAAUUUCACCCCCCCGCACCCUCCCUGAGUUCUGUGGUCUGAGGUCAGUCUUUAUUGUUGAUGCAGUUGGGAUUAGCUCCCUGGACUGUAGAAGAGGAAGACUAGUAACUACAAGCUAUACAAGGGUUUCAAGCCCGCCUCAAUUAUAAUAUAAAAAUUUCAUCUUUAGGUAGCAGUAAACAAAACUGGCUUUCAUGCUUAGAUUAUAAACCUCUUGGCGUGGGGACUGUCUUUUUGUUCUGUUUGUACAGUGCCAAACAUAAUGAGGUCCUGGUUCCUAACGGGCUCCUAGGCAUGAUGGUAAAACAAAUAACAGUGCUCAGUAAAAUGCAAGAAGCAGUCAAACCUGGAUCAACUGAGCUUUCACCUGUUUCUGUUGGUUCCCUAUAAGGGCCCAAUCUCUGCUCCCAGCACAGACCCAAAGCCAUCCUCUUUGACUCCAGACUUUCCUUUUCUAGUUACAGGCUCAGACUGAUGGGUGGGGGUUGCAAUUCACCACCUAUAUCACUGCUCAUGCCGUUCACCGAAUGGGGUGAGCUCUGUCCUGCUCCCCAAACUACCACACAGCAGGGCUGGGGCAAAGCAGGGCAACAAUACCACUCACGGUAGAGUGCCUCAGCCACUGCCCUGACACUUGUCAACACCCCUGCAACCCUGACAUCCCUAAUAUCCCCCAUGGCCCCAACAUCUCCCCCCACAGCCCAUCCCUCAGGUCAACAACCCCACAGCCCUGACACCUCCCCACAGUCCCUCAGGUCAACAACCCCACAGCCCUGACACCUCCCCACAUUCCCCAUGCCCCUCCCACAGGUCAACAACCCCGCAGCCCUGACACCCCCCACAGUCCCUCUCUCAUCUAAACACCCCCACAGCCUUGACACCCCCCACAAUCCUCAUGGCCUCGAUGUCCCCAUAGCUCCUCCCUCACGUCCAUGCCCCCACGAUCCUGACACACACACACACAUCUAUCUAUAUCCCCGCAUGUCAGCCCUCCCGCUCCCACCCCGCCUCUCCGUGACGCGCUAUUCACGCGCGAGCGGCAGCCGUUAUAACGGCCCAGCCCGCGCGGCCGCCCCAAAACUACCGUUCC